GCUGGCGGCAUGCCUUACACAUGCAAGUCGAACGGUAACAGGUCUUCGGAUGCUGACNAGUGGCGAACGGGUGAGUAAUACAUCGGAACGUGCCCGAUCGUGGGGGAUAACGGAGCGAAAGCUUUGCUAAUACCGCAUACGAUCUACGGAUGAAAGCAGGGGACCGCAAGGUCUUGCGCGGACGGAGCGGCCGAUGGCAGAUUAGGUAGUUGGUGGGAUAAAAGCUUACCAAGCCGACGAUCUGUAGCUGGUCUGAGAGGACGACCAGCCACACUGGGACUGAGACACGGCCCAGACUCCUACGGGAGGCAGCAGUGGGGAAUUUUGGACAAUGGGCGAAAGCCUGAUCCAGCCAUGCCGCGUGCAGGAUGAAGGCCUUCGGGUUGUAAACUGCUUUUGUACGGAACGAAAAGACUCCUUCUAAUAA
Molecule: ribosomal RNA, 427 nt
Filed under: uncultured Burkholderiales bacterium
Lineage: Bacteria; Pseudomonadati; Pseudomonadota; Betaproteobacteria; Burkholderiales
Description: bacterial SSU rRNA
Rfam family: Bacterial small subunit ribosomal RNA
Source: RNAcentral